This is an RNA transcript of Monopterus albus (swamp eel), 4524 nucleotides long. It is a transcript of the gene named pyruvate dehydrogenase phosphatase regulatory subunit, with no coding region annotated. The transcript has 14 exons. The record is from RefSeq and is a predicted model, not a curated record. Lineage: Eukaryota; Metazoa; Chordata; Actinopteri; Synbranchiformes; Synbranchidae.
AGGUGUCUGUUCCUCUUCAUGGCUGUGAACACUUCUACCUCCUCACCAAACCUCUUCAGGAGCCACUUCCACCCCACACCCCAGUGGUGAUCGAUAUGGAUGGCAGGAUAUAUGCACGGCCAUGGCAGGGGGGUCUUCUGUCAGGGGGCUUUGAGAAGAACCCCAAACCCAUCUUCACUGAGGGCCGCAACCAGCUGGAGAUCCAGAGCAUGCAGGAGGACUGGGACCACUUUGAGCCAAUGCUCAGUUCCCUGCUGAGGAGAAUGCCUAUUCUUGAGUCAGCUGAGAUCCAUCAGCUGGUCAACUGUCCAGAAUCCUUCACCCCUGACAUGCGCUGUCUGAUGGGGGAGACGCCGGGUGUCUCUGGCUGCUAUGUGCUGGCGGGGAUGAACUCCUCUGGCCUGGCUUUUGCUGGAGGAGCUGGGAAGUACCUGGCAGAGUGGAUCACCUAUGGCUAUCCCACUGCCAAUGUCUGGCCACUGGACAUCAAACGCUUUGGCAACCUGCAGAGCAGCAGAACUUUCCUGAGACAUAGAGUAAUGGAAGUCAUGCCUCUUUUGUAUGAACUGAAGGUCCCUCGCUGGGACUUUCAGACUGGGCGUCAGCUGAGGACCAGCCCUCUCUAUGAUCGUCUGGAUACCCAGGGAGCUCGCUGGAUGGAGAAACAUGGCUUUGAGAGGCCCAAAUACUUUGUUCCUCCAGGGAAAGAUCUGCUCUCUCUGGACCAGAGUAAGACCUUCUACAAACCAGACUGGUUUGACAUUGUUGGAGCAGAAGUGAAAUGCUGCAAAGAGGCUGUCUGCGUCAUCGACAUGUCCUCCUUCACCAAGUUUGAGCUGACUUCAACAGGUGACCAGGCCCUGGAGCUGUUACAACAUCUGUGUUCCAAUGACCUGGAUGUUCCUGUUGGGCAUAUCAUCCACACCGGCAUGCUGAAUGAGAGGGGAGGCUAUGAGAACGACUGCAGUGUGGUCCGCCUCAACAAGAACAGCUUUUUCAUCAUUUCUCCGACAGACCAACAGGUCCAUUGUUGGUCCUGGAUCAAGAAACACAUGCCCAAUGAUCCACACCUCCACCUAGAGGAUGUCAGCUGGAAGUACACAGCUUUAAACCUUAUUGGCCCUCGUGCAAUGGAUGUUCUGGCUGAGCUGUCGUAUGUUUCCAUGACACCUGAGCACUUCCCCUCCAUGUUUUGUAAGGAGAUGAGUGUGGGCUAUGCCAACGGGAUCAGAGUGAUGAGUAUGACUCACACUGGGGAACCAGGUUUCAUGCUCUACAUACCUAUAGAGUAUGCACUGCAUGUGUACAAUGAGGUGGUGUCAGUGGGUCAGAAGUACGGGAUACGUAAUGCAGGGUACUACGCACUGCGCAGCCUACGCAUAGAGAAAUUCUUCGCUUUCUGGGGUCAAGACCUUGACACCUUCACCACCCCACUGGAGUGUGGAAGAGAGUUCAGGGUGAAGUUUGAUAAGGACACAGACUUCAUUGGACGUGAGGCGUUGCUGCAGCAGCGCCAGGACGGUGUGUUUCGGCGGUUCAUCAUGCUGGUUCUAGAGGACCAUGACACUGAACUGGACCUGUGGCCGUGGUGGGGGGAGCCCAUCUACCGUAACGGCCAGCUGGCUGGGACAACCACCAGCAGUGCCUACAGCUACACCCUGGAGCGCCAUGUCUGCCUGGGUUUUGUAUCUCCACCACCAGGCCCAGAGGGGCAGCCCACACCCAUCACCCCAGACUUCAUCAACCGUGGGGACUAUGAGGUGGAUAUUGCUGGCCAGCGCUACCCAGCCAAAGCCAAACUCUACCCCUUUAGCUCCCUCUUCACCCAACAGAAACGCCGGAAGGAAGAUAUGGAGCUCACCAACCUCCAGGGCAAGUGAUGUCGAGUGAUGGAAAACCUUCCAUUUGCCUCGAUCAGAAGUUGGGGAGAGCCACCACGCAGCAUAUCUGGAGCUGGUAGGGAUUUAGUAAUUUUAGGGAUUUUCAUACAUGUGUGUGGAGGUAUUACUUGCACUGUGGGGACAGUCUGUUUACACAGUCACAUUGUGGGGACUCGACUUCCUUUUGGUGUCAAGAAGAACAUCCUAGAAAUGUAAAGGUUAGGGUUAGGCAAGUAACAUUACGGCUGAGGUUAGGGUAAGUUUCCAGGAAGUGAAUGUAUGUCGAUACAAUGUCCGCCAAAGUGACUGAAACACGACUGUGUUUGUGUAUUUCUUGUUGUCUUGACCUUGCACCAGACUGUCAGAUGGUAAUCUGAAAGUUACCCUGAGUGGCUAAAUGAAAGCUGUAAACUCACUUCAUCACAUACACUAUACAGCACCUUUACGAGACGAUAAUGACUGAAGGCUGCAGAUAGAGUAAAUAUCUUUAUGUGAUGGUGUUACCUCCAUACUAACAUUAAUAUGAUUGUUACAUUACCUGUUGUCCAGUGCAGUUCCUUCUGAGUAAGGGUGUAUUAUCUAGUAGGGUUUCCUAUCUUGUCGUAUUGUAAUUGUGUUAUUCAGUACUGAUGGCAUUCUCGGAUGCGGUACGUUAUUUGUAAUUUCUAAUGUGAGCAAAAGCCCCAGCUCCACAAAUCCUGCUAUCACUGUCACACUGAUUGGCAGACCAAUGAACACACAUUUCAGCAGCCUUUAGCAACCAAACUUAUUGUAGUUUUCAAAGAUUUUUAUUGCCGAUUUUUUCCACUUCAUCUAUCUCUAGCUAUUUGCCUACACUUGUAAUUAAUAAAUUUUUUGGGAACGUAACAGACCUUUAAAUAUUUUCUCAAUUUAAAUACAUUAUUUCAUCUUUUUAAAAAGCCUGUUGAUCUAGAGUAGCAACUAACUUUUUUUUUUUUUAUCAGGGCAUCUGAAACACUUCUGUCUCUGAGAGGGGAGAAAAUUCCAGUGACUUAGUUUGGAUAUUGCAGAAAGCAGCUGCUGUGUUCAAAAACAAAAAUACAGACAGCAUCAAACCAUACUUAAAAAAUGUUGUGGUUGUUUUGCUAACAUUGCAGACAUUUGCUCUGCAAAGAGUAAAAGCCUUUGCAAGUAAGGAUGAAUUGAUGCAGUAACAUUAGCAUGAAGUUAAUUUAUGGCACAAAAUCUCUUGCAGUGGGCGGCUGGCAGGAGUCAGUCUUAACAGCAGGGCAAUAAAAGUACAAACCUUAGUUUUACGACAUGGGAGGCUACUGUGUGGUUCAGAAUGGGGGCAGGAGAAACUCUGUAUACAGUGGCUGUCACUGCUCAACCUGAGGAACCAAAUGCAACGGGGAGCAAGUUGUUACUCAUAAAGGGCUCAUUUUUCUUCAUAUAUGUGCUUAAGCUUGCAAAAGAUGUUAAUAAGUGAAGCAUGUGCAUGUGAGAGUGUAGUUUUUGCAUUGGCGUACAGUUUCAGUGCCGUUACUAUGGUGCUUUGACUCUGUCCUCUGCACUAUAGUACCAACACUUAACCAGUGGCCCUGUGCUUUGUUCUGAUGCCAUUUAUUUUCUCAUGUCUCAUUCAUAAAAGAACCAAACACUUUAUAGACUUCUAAUGUUGCAGUUCAUCACAUUUAAAAAUUAUGGUCCAUUUUCUGAUAUGGCUCCAUAAAUAUCAGUGUGAUUAAUGGUGCCCCAGCUCCCUGUCUUUUAUCACUGUGGAAGGCUUCGUAUCCAAGACUCCAGUAAUUUUCCAGUACACACAAACUUUGCUGCAAAAACCACUGAUGUGCUAUAUGCAUUACAUGGCCUGUUCUGCCUGGUGAUUUUUUUUUCUCUCCAAACAAUCUACAUGUACCCUUGUACAGCAAAAGGCCCCAGAUGUUUGCACUAAACAAGGGCAGCACACCCAGUUUUUUUCUAUGGGGCUUUGAUACAAACCAUGUUUUGAACGUGAUAGGUUACUUGCAAUUCAAAGAUUGUAAAGUUUUCCAAUAAUGAAUGGCUAUAGUCAUAUUUUAAAGCAUUCAGUGACUUCAUAAAGUAUUUCUGUCCCUGUGUAGUGAUAAGGAGUAAUCCUCACUCAGGAACCCAUAAUGAAAAGGUGAACAUUUUUUGAAAUUUAUUUGGCAAAAUUACAAAAAGUCAGUAACAGUAUGUCCAAUAAAUAAAUAAAGUCACUAAAUCAAAAAAACUAAAUAAUUUACAAAAGUAUUCAAAUCCUUAAUUUGUAUAAGCUGCAUUGGCAGGCCUCUACAAGCUUUGCAUACAUGGACAGCCCUUCUGGGAACAUGUAAAACUCCAGAAACAAUUUUAUACCCUUGUCUUGAUCUAUGCCAUGCCACAGUUUUAUCACGAGGUCUACAGAGAGUUUCUUGGUUUUGGUCCUAACAUGGAGUGUGAAUCGUGGUGCCUUAUUUACACACGUGUGGGACUUUCUGACACCUGAUGUAAAAAUUACAAUUUUAUCAAUAUAAAAUGAAAUAUACAGCAUCAAGUGUGCAGAAUGUGAUAGGGUCUGAAAACUUUCUGAAGCCACUGUAUGUUAUCCAGGAAUGGUUUAAAAGAUAGUUAAGGAUUGAGUUCCAGUAAAUAGUCUACAUAAAGGAAUGUGUGUUCUGUU